GACCAGUAACCUUCCUAGAAGGAUCAAAUGAGAACUCUGGCAAAUUGUUUUUGUUUAACUGUUGAUGCAUCUCUCCAUUAAGCAUUAACCUUGCUUUGUUUGCCACAUCAAUUUCAUGUCUAUAUCUCAUCAUUGUAUCAGUUGGCUCCAAAUGCCAUUCGUCGAAGGAGAAAUGCCAUUUUGAUUCGUGGAUUGAUGAGGAGCUUGACGCAUCAAGUUGCCCGUACCAGUGUUAUCUUUAUCAUGAAAUUCACUCUCAUUACGAAAGCCCACCACUAAAUCUCUGAUUUUAUCAUGUGAAGUUCUAAUCUUUGACUGUAAUUGAUUGUGCAGAUGCGUUAUGCUGUUGGAUACAGCAGAGGCAUUUAUGACAUGGGGCCAAACACCAUAUU
RNAcentral lists this unclassified non-coding RNA (392 nucleotides) under Hevea brasiliensis (rubber tree). Lineage: Eukaryota; Viridiplantae; Streptophyta; Magnoliopsida; Malpighiales; Euphorbiaceae. The record is from RNAcentral.